CCUACGGGUGGCAGCAGUGAGGAAUAUUGGUCAAUGGAGGAAACCCUGAUGCAGCGACGCCGCGUGUAGGAAGACGGUCCUCUGGAUUGUAAACUACUGUCCCCAGGGACGAAGAUGACGGUACCUGGGGAGGAAGCUCCGGCUAACUACGUGCCAGCAGCCGCGGUAAUACGUAGGGAGCGAGCGUUGUCCGGAAUUACUGGGUGUAAAGGGAGCGUAGGCGGGGAUGCAAGUUGGGUGUUAAAUCUACCGGCUCAACUGGUAGUCGCACUCAAAACUGCAGCUCUUGAGUGAAGUAGAGGCAGGCGGAAUUCCUAGGGUAGCGGUGAAAUGCGUAGAUAUUAGGAGGAACACCAGUGGCGAAGGCGGCCUGCUGGGCUUUUACUGACGCUGAGGCUCGAAAGUGUGGGGAGCAAACAGGAUUAGAUACCCCAGUAGUC
Molecule: ribosomal RNA, 440 nt
Filed under: uncultured bacterium
Lineage: Bacteria
Description: partial 16S ribosomal RNA
Rfam family: Bacterial small subunit ribosomal RNA
Source: RNAcentral